This 482-nucleotide ribosomal RNA is filed under the name uncultured bacterium. Its description in RNAcentral is "partial 16S ribosomal RNA". It matches the Rfam family "Bacterial small subunit ribosomal RNA", at positions 30 to 507 of the family's 1533-position model. The record is from RNAcentral.
AUUGAACGCUGGCGGCAUGCUUUACACAUGCAAGUCGAACGGUAACAGGCCGCAAGGUGCUGACGAGUGGCGAACGGGUGAGUAAUGCAUCGGAACGUGCCCAGUCGUGGGGGAUAACUACUCGAAAGAGUAGCUAAUACCGCAUACGAUCUAUGGAUGAAAGCGGGGGACCGUAAGGCCUCGCGCGAUUGGAGCGGCCGAUGUCAGAUUAGGUAGUUGGUGGGGUAAAGGCUCUCCAAGCCAACGAUCUGUAGCUGAUCUGAGAGGACGACCAGCCACACUGGGACUGAGACACGGCCCAGACUCCUACGGGAGGCAGCAGUGGGGAAUUUUGGACAAUGGGCGCAAGCCUGAUCCAGCAAUGCCGCGUGCAGGAAGAAGGCCUUCGGGUUGUAAACUGCUUUUGUACGGAACGAAACGGCUCUGGUUAAUACCCGGGGCUAAUGACGGUACCGUAAGAAUAAGCACCGGCUAACUACGUG